Molecule: ribosomal RNA, 430 nt
Filed under: uncultured bacterium
Lineage: Bacteria
Description: bacterial SSU rRNA
Rfam family: Bacterial small subunit ribosomal RNA
Source: RNAcentral
GUGAGGAAUAUUGCACAAUGGGCGAAAGCCUGAUGCAGCGACGUCGCGUGGAGGAUGAAGGUUUUCGAAUCGUAAACUCCUGUUAAGUGGGAAGAAAUACCUGUAAUGAAUAAGUGCAGGAGAUGACGUUACCACUAAAGAAAGCACCGGCUAACUUCGUGCCAGCAGCCGCGGUAAUACGAGGGGUGCAAACGUUAUUCGGAAUUACUGGGCGUAAAGGGUGUGUAGACGGAUUAUCAAGUCAAUUAUUAAAUUUCUCGGCUUAACCGAGGAGCCGUAGUUGAAACUGAUAAACUAGAGGACGGAAGAGAGAAGUGGAAUUCUCGGAGUAGCGGUAAAAUGCGUAGAUCUCGAGAGGAACACCGAUGGCGAAGGCAGCUUCUUGGUCCGUAUCUGACGUUGAGACACGAAAGCGUGGGGAGCAAACAGG